This 253-nucleotide ribosomal RNA is filed under the name uncultured bacterium. Its description in RNAcentral is "partial 16S ribosomal RNA". It matches the Rfam family "Bacterial small subunit ribosomal RNA", at positions 524 to 776 of the family's 1533-position model. The record is from RNAcentral.
UACGUAGGGUGCAAGCGUUGUUCGGAAUUACUGGGCGUAAAGGGCUCGUAGGUGGCCAACUAAGUCAGACGUGAAAUCCCUCGGCUUAACCGGGGAACUGCGUCUGAUACUGGAUGGCUUGAGUUUGGGAGAGGGACGCGGAAUUCCAGGUGUAGCGGUGAAAUGCGUAGAUAUCUGGAGGAACACCGGUGGCGAAGGCGGCGUCCUGGACCAACACUGACACUGAGGAGCGAAAGCCAGGGGAGCAAACGGG